AAGUUGUCUCCAUUCUAUGGUGUUUUAUCUCUUAACUUUUCAUCUUGGGGACUCUUGCAGUUAAUUAAUUAAGAUUGUUGCAACAAAUUAGGAGGAACUGGUGUUAUUGAAACAAGCGAUGCUUUUGAUGUUUUCACUUUGCAACAUUAUGCAGUUAGUUUUGGCCAUGAGAACGGGAGGCAAUUGGAAAUUAAUUUGAAAGCCACUGAAACAACAAAUUGUCUGCAGUGGUAUCCCUCCUAUAUUCGGUUUGCUCAUUAUACUGGUAGACUUUAGAACGCUAUUUUCUACAGUUAGUCAAGUUAAAAUUGACUGGCGCAUCUGUGGAAUUUUAAUAGUUAUCUACUGUCUACAUUAUAAAUUAAUGUUAUGUGCAUCUGUGAUUACUUCACAUUUAUAAUGUCAAAUUUGGUCUCUCAUGUAAACUUGACGCUUGUCGCCAUUUUAUAAUUCAGCGUAUUUACUUGGUUUUUGAUGCGUGUUUUUAGAUCGUUCAACAAAUAAGAGGGAGUUGAAAGUUCAAUUUGGUCGUACUAAAACAACCAUUGUCUACAUGGGUGUGGUCUUUGGUGAACUAUAUUCUUGAUUUGCUGUUUUCGUCUUCACUCUACAUUAUUAUGCA
Molecule: long non-coding RNA, 622 nt
Organism: Agrilus planipennis (emerald ash borer)
Lineage: Eukaryota; Metazoa; Arthropoda; Insecta; Coleoptera; Buprestidae
Exons: 4
Source: RefSeq, a predicted model, not a curated record